Molecule: ribosomal RNA, 448 nt
Filed under: uncultured bacterium
Lineage: Bacteria
Description: partial 16S ribosomal RNA
Rfam family: Bacterial small subunit ribosomal RNA
Source: RNAcentral
UCCAGACUCCUACGGGAGGCAGCAGUGGGGGAUAUUGCACAAUGGGGGGAACCCUGAUGCAGCGACGCCGCGUGGGUGAAGGAGCGUUUCGGCGCGUAAAGCCCUAUCGGCAGGGAAGAAGGAGGACGGUACCUGACUAAGAAGCCCCGGCUAACUACGUGCCAGCAGCCGCGGUAAUACGUAGGGGGCAGGCGUUAUCCGGAUUUACUGGGUGUAAAGGGAGCGUAGACGGUGAAGCAAGUCUGAAGUGAAAGGCGGGGGCUCAACCCCCGGACUGCUUUGGAAACUGUUUGACUGGAGUGCAGGAGAGGUAAGUGGAAUUCCUAGUGUAGCGGUGAAAUGCGUAGAUAUUAGGAGGAACACCGGUGGCGAAGGCGGCCUGCUGGACUUCGACUGACGUUGAGGCCCGAAAGCGUGGGGAGCAAACAGGAUUAGAUACCCCCGUACA